CAGUAGUUUGCACACUCGCAUCGGGAGCGCGGCGCGUCCACAGCCGUUAAACACCCAACUUCUGAAAUGUUGACCUCGGAUCAGGUAGGAAUACCCGCUGAACUUAAGCAUAUCAAAA
This 118-nucleotide ribosomal RNA is filed under the name Trichoderma sp. TMGM 27. RNAcentral describes it as "partial 28S ribosomal RNA". The record is from RNAcentral. Lineage: Eukaryota; Fungi; Ascomycota; Sordariomycetes; Hypocreales; Hypocreaceae.